This 234-nucleotide ribosomal RNA is filed under the name uncultured bacterium. Its description in RNAcentral is "partial 16S ribosomal RNA". It matches the Rfam family "Bacterial small subunit ribosomal RNA", at positions 15 to 217 of the family's 1533-position model. The record is from RNAcentral.
GAUCAUGGCUCAGGACGAACGCUGGCGGCGUGCCUAACACAUGCAAGUCGAACGGAGUGUUGCGCUGAAAUUGAGAUUAGCUUGCUAAAGGAUAUUUCUUGUAACAUUUAGUGGCGGACGGGUGAGUAACGCGUGAGGAACCUGCCUUACAGAGGGGGACAACAGUUGGAAACGACUGCUAAUACCGCAUGAUGUGGAGGGGAGACAUCUCCCUUUCACCAAAGGAGCAAUCCG